Molecule: unclassified non-coding RNA, 241 nt
Filed under: uncultured fungus
Lineage: Eukaryota; Fungi
Description: sequence contains ITS1, 5.8S rRNA gene
Rfam family: 5.8S ribosomal RNA (bases 193-241)
Source: RNAcentral
UUUCCGUUGGUGAACCAGCGGAAGGAUCAUUACAGAGAUCAUGCCCCUCGCGGGUAGACCUCCCACCCUGUGUUAUUACGAUUGUUGCUUUGGCAGGCCGCCUUCGGGCACUCGGCUCCGGCUGAGGUGCGCCUGCCAGAGGACCCCAACUCUUUUGUUUAUAUGUCGUCUGAGUACUAUAUAAUAAGUUAAAACUUUCAACAACGGAUCUCUUGGUUCUGGCAUCGAUGAAGAACGCAGC